CUCCUUUUCCACAGGGCAGGGCUCCCCGCUUCACCCUUGGGUCGCUCAGAGUUCACCAGCACUGCUUCUUCCCCAGGUGAGCCCCUGAUCAAAAGUAUAGCAGACAGGAUGGAAGAAGAUGGAUGGAAAGAUCUUGGUUAUGAGUAUGUGAACCCCUGCAAUGCAAGGGGGUUCACAAGGCAUGCAUUAGCCAGAUUCUGAAAGGUUUCCAAGUAGCAUUAAAUCCCUUGCUGAUUAUAAGUGCUGAUGAUAUUUUAACAAGCAAGAUCUAAUAUGGGAGCAUUGUUGCCCAUUUAAAUUUCCACCAGGCACUGCUGUACUAAAGGGCACUCUGAUUUUGUGGUACUCCUACUCAGCAAUUUCUGCUGGUGUGUCAACCAUGGAAGAUUAUGGAGGAAGAACAAAAGGAAGGGAGCAGAAAGAGUGAGCAGGGGCAUUAGAGAAUAAGUAGUAUGUAAUUUGUUCAGAGUUUUGGAAUGACAGAAGCAGUAGCAG
Long non-coding RNA from Gavialis gangeticus (Gharial), 495 nucleotides. RefSeq lists it as uncharacterized. The record is from RefSeq and is a predicted model, not a curated record. NCBI's taxonomy places the organism in Eukaryota, Metazoa, Chordata, Crocodylia, Gavialidae. The transcript is spliced from 3 exons.